RNAcentral lists this ribosomal RNA (2862 nucleotides) under Triticum aestivum (bread wheat). RNAcentral's name for it is "partial small subunit ribosomal RNA". The record is from RNAcentral. Lineage: Eukaryota; Viridiplantae; Streptophyta; Magnoliopsida; Poales; Poaceae.
AUGGCAAUCACCAUGCUGAAAACCAUUGAUAGCCUGUCCGAUCAGAUGGUGAUGUAUCUUCUAGGGGCCAUGCAAUCUGCGAGUUUCGACAAUCAGAUGUUCCCGGUCUGGUCCAUCGUACUGGUGAGCCUCCGUGCCAGCCUUGGUUACCUCUCCGGGUAUGGCAUCACAGACCGUGAGAGGCAACUCACUGAAUUGGCAAACGUGAUGAAGUUCUUAGUAUUAGGAGUCUUGAACGGCACGCGGGGUUUGGAGUUCAACAAACCACUCUGGUUACUCUGGGCCAUUCUGCUGGUGAGAAGCGUGUACAGAUGUCUCGCACAUCAUUGGGCUAUCGGAUCCUUGUGGCACGGCCGUAGCUCGGAGUUCCUCCCGGAGUACAUGAUUGAAAACCGCCCCGGUGACCGUGAAGAUGGCCGCAGCUUGGACAAGGAUCAAAGCUACCUGGUUUACGGAGAGUCCAGUCAGGAGGUCGAAUUGAAGAGGCCUGGGUAUACUCUGCAUCUCAAUGUCGUCAAUCAUCAAUCACUCAUCACACUGAAUAAGAUUUCAGAGUGCAGUAAGCAUCUGCUGAGCCCCAGUAACAGAAACAGAUACAAGGAUAUGAGCCUGGCCUUCACACUGUCGAGGCUGCUUCGCUGUAGGCUUGAAGACGUAACGCUGCAGCCAGAAACCAAAAAAGAGAUACGUAGCUUAAUCACUUCAAAGAUUACUGUAGGUGAAGAGAACAGUCAGAUGAAGGCGAAGAGGAUAUUCAGAGUCCUGGAGUUGGAGCUUGCAUUUGUCAGAGAUUACUUUUACACCCUCUACCCUAUGGUCUUCUGGCAAGGACUUUCUUCUCUCUGCUUCAACAUCCUCCUGUCCAUGGCAACGUUCGCUGUCGCCUUUUGGCUGGCCAUAUGCAUCCGCAAGGCCUACGAGCCCCCUGAAGAAACAUUUGUUCUCUGGGUGGGGGGAUGGAAUUUUGACGUUGUCAUUACUUGGGUGUUCAUGUUCUUCAUGAUGUUCAAGGAGGUCUGGGAGAUUAUCACCUACCUGCUAUCAAACUGGACAAGAUUACUCCUUGUGUGCAAGUAUGUGCAGCACACCCAGCAGAGCGAGCAGAGUGAGCAGAGCCAAUCUUCGCUCAUGAGGAGUCUCAUGGGGAAUGCUCUCACGGUGGAUCUGAUAAGUUCGUUUUUUGUCUCUAAGAUUGCCGACCCAUGGCAUGGUCGCAUCGACCAAUAUGACUUUUUGCAGUCAUGCACAUACAACCCACCCUUUUGGAAACUGGCAAAAGCAGUUACCCUGGGAAAGACUCCAAGGGAGUUAGAUGGAAGAAAACGUGGUGAAGCUAUCAAGAUUCCUGAAUGCGUUAAGCUAGCAAUCCUGAAGGCACUCUACCAAAUAGACCUCAAGAAACAUCAUCAGCUGCCCAUAAGAAUCCCAUCGCUGGAGGCCGAGGCACACAUGCAGUUUCAAUGGGCCUGCCUGGAUCUAGACACAUGCUCUCGGGUCAUUCUGGUGUGGCACAUCGCCACAAGCCUCUGUGAAAUCAAGCUUGCGCAGGAGGGUGAAAUUGACUUAACCAAGCCCGGGUUUGUGCGCUCAGCCUGGUCAUAUCUGAAAACACUCCGCUCCUGCACUUCCAAGCCACACCUGGUAGAUGAUAAUAUUCAAAGGAAUGAUGACCUCAAGACCUGUUACCGCACCGCAACCAGUUUGUCAUGGUACUGUGCUUAUCUGCAGGUUUUUCGGCCUGAACUGUUGCCAGAUAGUUUUGUUGUACCAGACCUGAUAUUUUCAGAAACCUUACAAAAAGCUCGAGAACAAGCCGAUGAUUGCAACCUGACAUGGUGUUGGUAUAAUAAAUUUAUGGUAAUAGCGCAGGAAGCUAAGGAAAAGAAUGUGGAUAAGAGGCAGAGUAAGAGCAUAGUGCAGCAAGGUGCUAUUUUAGGCAAAGAACUGAUUGACAUGGAUAAAGAAACCCGUUGGAAGAUUCUAGCUGGAGUGUGGGCUGACUUAUUUGUGCACAUCGCCCCCAGUUGGAAUGCAUUAGAUCACAAGAACAACCUCGAGUCGGGAGGCGAGUUCAUAACCCUCAUCUGGGCAUUGCUUUGCCACUGUGGCAUCGAGAAGAGCAAAAUGUGGGACAAGGAUAAAGUAUCUAGAAGGAAUUUUCAAGUACCCCAGGAAAAUAAUACUGAAACCGACAACAUUGGGCCUGUAGAGGAGCAACAAAUAUCUGAAACCAAUGCUCAGGCACCUCAGGAUAACAACAUUGAAACCAACAGCACUGAGCCCGCGCAGGAGCAGCAAGUAUCUGAAAACAAUGCUCAGGUAGAAAAUAAUACUGAAAUCAGCAACUUUGAGCCCGUGGAGGAGCAGCAAAUAUCUGAAAACAUUGCUCAAGUAGAAAAUAAUACUGAAGUCGGCAACAUUGAGCCCAUGGAGGAGCAACAAGUAUCUGAAACCAAUGCUCAAGUACCUCAAGAAAAUACUACUGAAACCAGCGACAUGCAGCCUGUGGAGGAGCAACAAGCAUCUGAAAACAAUGCUGAAGUAGAAAAUAAUACUGAAAUCAGCAACAUUCAACCCAUGGAGCAACAAGUAUAUGAAAACAAUGCUCAAGUAUCUCAGGAAAACAAUACUGAAACCAGCGACAUUCAGCCUAUGGAGGAGCAACAAGUAUAUCAAAACAAUGCUCAAGAAGAAACCAAUACUGAGCUCAACAUUCAGCCGGUGGAGGACCAACAAGUAUCUGAAAACAAUGCUCAGGCAUCUCAGGAAAAUAAUACUGAAACCAGCGACCCUCAGCCUAUGGAGGAGCAAUCCGACGAGGAUGAGACUGAGAGUGAUCCAGGCUCCGAGACAAGCAGCUAG